AGCAGCCGCGGUAAUUCCAGCUCCAAUAGCGUAUAUUAAAGUUGUUGCAGUUAAAAAGCUCGUAGUUGAAUUUCGGGGUUCUACCGUUGGUCGGGCUUUGUCUGUACUGGCGUGUGGAAUUUCUACCUUCUGGGGAACCAUCAUGUUAUUAAUUUAACGUGGUGGGAAACCAGGACCUUUACCUUGAAAAAAUUAGAGUGUUCAAAGCAGGCUUAUGUCUGAAUACAUUAGCAUGGAAUAAUAGAAUAGGACGGUGGUCCUGUUUUGUUGGUUUCUGAAUCACCGUAAUGAUUAAUAGGGAUAGUUGGGGGCAUUAGUAUUCAAUUGUCAGAGGUGAAAUUCUUGGAUUUAU
Molecule: ribosomal RNA, 352 nt
Filed under: uncultured Racocetra
Lineage: Eukaryota; Fungi; Glomeromycota; Glomeromycetes; Diversisporales; Gigasporaceae
Description: SSU rRNA
Rfam family: Eukaryotic small subunit ribosomal RNA
Source: RNAcentral